CCGGGCGCGCGGGGUCGGCCGGCCGCCUUCGCUGCUCCGCCGCGGCUCUCAGCGCCGCUCAGCGCGGCGGGCCCGCCCGGGCUCAGGUGCCCCCCGCUCUCCGGACCUUCUCGCCCGGCCCCGCGUCCCCUCCGCGGGCUUCCCCCGGCGGCCGGCCGGGCUCGGAGGCUCGCGGCCGGAGCGGAGCGGAGUGCGCACGCCGGGGUGGCAGGACUUCGGCAAGACCAACUUUCCGGUUCGGAAGCGGCGCGGGCCGCGCGGCUCCUCCCCUCCUCUCCCUCCCCUGCGUUCCCCCUCCCUUCCACUCCCCCCUCUCCCCGCCCCCCAACCCGCGGGCCCCACCGACUCCGGAGCGCCCGCCCCGCCCGCUGCUGCCACCGGGCCGCCUCGCCCCCGCGCCAGCCCGCCUGGGCCUCUGCGCCGCCGGCGGCUUCUUAAAUACAGGAAAGGGAGGGGACCGCAGGGCCCCGGUGUUCCCCACCCUAGUCCCCCUUCACCACGGGCCACCGGGCGCCAGCGGAGUGGGCAGCGAGCGCGACCGAAAGUUCCAACUCCACCAAACUCCCGCGCGCGGCCCACCCUUUCCCGGGAUUUCGGGGAUGACACGGGGGCCAGUGGUCCUGUCUGGUGUGAACCGUCAGCACAGAUGGCCUCCUGGAGCUUCCCCGAGUCGUUCGCUGGGGGAAGCGGGCGGUGAGCGGCCAGCCCGGGCGCUCCGCAGGCCGCGAGCUCCCGGCAGGGCUGGUGGCGGGGGUCCGCCUGGGGGAGGAAUCCCCGCCUGCUCCAUCGGACCCGGCCUGGCGCGGCUCGCGGCGCUCGGCGGGCUCCCUUCCAUUCUAGAAUCUUCCCGCUUGCUUCCCAGCCCGCGUUCUUCCGCCUGCCUUUAAUUGUAAUUUACAGGAUUAAGGAGUUUGGGGAAGUCGCAGAGCUGCAGCGGAAAGGCAGGGGUCUGAGACUACUUUUGAGAAGAGAAACAACGCAAAACGAUCGCUGGAGGGCCAGAGCCCUGGUCGAAGAAGCAGACACAGGUUCCCACGGCGUCUGACGCCUGCGGAGCAAGUCCAGAGCCAGCUGGACUCGCAGCCUCUGGCCCGGCGGCACCAACUCCUCACUGGGUCAUUUUGAGCGCGCUGUGCCCACCUUUUCUGUUGCGUGUGGACGUGGGGAGGAUCUUCUAAGUCCCUCCAACGAAGGCAAGUGUGAGACUCUGGCCCUUUAUUUGUAAGAAGCAAGCCUUCAGAUUGCAGAAGUGUCGCGCGGGUCGCCGUGCGUUGCGCGAGUGGGAAGAUGGAGGAGGCCGGCACGCUGCUUUCGUGGACGCAAGUGAACCGGGCGUGAAGGCAGGGUGCGAGCUCUGCCCUUGGCCCAGCCCUGCGUGGGCGCCGUCCCAGAUUCCGGGCGGUGCGGGGUGCAGAGAUCUGGAGAGACUUGCGGGCUCCCCAGCGCAGGCUGCUCUGGGAUUUCGUUGGAAGAUCCGGCAGAGCCUUGGAGGAGAGGGCCCGGGAGGCUGUGUGUGCAGCGGAAACUUGUACGAAUGCCCCCACAGCGGAAAUGGUGCGCACGAGUAAUUUCUGCGGUGCACCCUUUUAAAAAUUGACAAGUGAACAAGAUCAAUUUUUUAAGAAAGCAAAGGUAGAAAACAAAAGGCGUGCGACUUCUUGACUGGCUUGUUCCCGCCUUUCUUCCUUCUCUAUACUCAGAUCAGAAACUUUUCUUUAAUUGCUCUUAUUCAGUGCGACAACUUUUAAUAAAAGCAUUUGCAUUUUAAGCCUGAGUUGCAACCAUAGAUUUAUUGCGAAGUGACAACGUGUCUAUGGAAUAUUUUCGCAGAUGAGACAGGACAUGCGCUCUAGUCGUGCCCAGAUUAAAGCGACGCUGGGCCAUGUGCCUGUGUAGUGCAGACUCGGAGGGGCACACACAUACUCGUCACCACAUGACCACUGUCUAUUAAUAUUGUCAUACCUAAACACUCGCAAAAACAAAAGUUGCUUUUCUUCCCUGUAAUUAAAUCUAAUUUGUUAAUUGUCUUUCCUCUUGCAAUGUUGUUUUCAUCUUGAGGUGACACAUUAUUAUUUUGUCUAAUAUUAUUUACAAAUUAAUGCUGUAUAUUUUACAUUAGUGAAACAUAUAAUUAGGUGUUUGGUUCAAUCGGUAUCAUUCAGAUAAAACAAAGCCUAUCUGCAAGAUUGAUUGGAAGUGGAGUAGUUGGUUCUAAUUUACC
RNAcentral lists this long non-coding RNA (2221 nucleotides) under Homo sapiens (human). RNAcentral's name for it is "HSALNT0395379". Lineage: Eukaryota; Metazoa; Chordata; Mammalia; Primates; Hominidae. The record is from RNAcentral.